This 51-nucleotide non-coding RNA is filed under the name Alexandrium minutum. The record is from RNAcentral. Lineage: Eukaryota; Dinophyceae; Gonyaulacales; Pyrocystaceae.
GGCGCAAGGAGGUAACGACGACUGGGGCCUCGCACGCGAAGGCACUUCCUC